UCCGGUGUGGUCUAGUGGCUAGGAUACCUGGCUUUCACCCAGGAGGCCCGGGUCAGAUUCCCGGUACCGGAA
Molecule: transfer RNA, 72 nt
Filed under: Schistocerca americana (American grasshopper)
Lineage: Eukaryota; Metazoa; Arthropoda; Insecta; Orthoptera; Acrididae
Description: tRNA-Glu
Rfam family: tRNA
About the family: Transfer RNA (tRNA) molecules are approximately 80 nucleotides in length. Their secondary structure includes four short double-helical elements and three loops (D, anti-codon, and T loops). Further hydrogen bonds mediate the characteristic L-shaped molecular structure. tRNAs have two regions of fundamental functional importance: the anti-codon, which is responsible for specific mRNA codon recognition, and the 3' end, to which the tRNAs corresponding amino acid is attached (by aminoacyl-tRNA synthetases). tRNAs cope with the degeneracy of the genetic code in two manners: having more than one tRNA (with a specific anti-codon) for a particular amino acid; and 'wobble' base-pairing, i.e. permitting non-standard base-pairing at the 3rd anti-codon position.
Source: RNAcentral